This 468-nucleotide ribosomal RNA is filed under the name uncultured bacterium. RNAcentral describes it as "partial 16S ribosomal RNA". It matches the Rfam family "Bacterial small subunit ribosomal RNA", at positions 28 to 507 of the family's 1533-position model. The record is from RNAcentral.
GACGAACGCUGGCGGCGUGCUUAACACAUGCAAGUCGAACGGAAAGGCCCUGCUUUUGUGGGGUGCUCGAGUGGCGAACGGGUGAGUAACACGUGAGUAACCUGCCCUUGACUUUGGGAUAACUUCAGGAAACUGGGGCUAAUACCGGAUAGGAGCUCCGGCUGCAUGGUGGGGGUUGGAAAGUUUCGGCGGUUGGGGAUGGACUCGCGGCUUAUCAGCUUGUUGGUGGGGUAGUGGCUUACCAAGGCUUUGACGGGUAGCCGGCCUGAGAGGGUGACCGGCCACAUUGGGACUGAGAUACGGCCCAGACUCCUACGGGAGGCAGCAGUGGGGAAUAUUGCACAAUGGGCGGAAGCCUGAUGCAGCAACGCCGCGUGCGGGAUGACGGCCUUCGGGUUGUAAACCGCUUUCGCCUGUGACGAAGCGUGAGUGACGGUACUGGGUAAAGAAGCACCGGCUAACUACGUG